RNAcentral lists this ribosomal RNA (359 nucleotides) under uncultured bacterium. RNAcentral's name for it is "partial 16S ribosomal RNA". It matches the Rfam family "Bacterial small subunit ribosomal RNA", at positions 338 to 695 of the family's 1533-position model. The record is from RNAcentral.
CCUACGGGAGGCAGCAGUGAGGAAUAUUGGUCAAUGGCCGCAAGGCUGAACCAGCCAAGCCGCGUGAGGGAUGAAGGUCCUAUGGAUUGUAAACCUCUUUUGUCAGGGAGCAAAGGGCGCCACGUGAGGCGUUUUGCGAGUACCUGAAGAAAAAGCAUCGGCUAACUCCGUGCCAGCAGCCGCGGUAAUACGGAGGAUGCGAGCGUUAUCCGGAUUUAUUGGGUUUAAAGGGUGCGCAGGCGGAAUGUCAAGUCAGCGGUAAAAUGUCGGGGCUCAACCCCGUCGUGCCGUUGAAACUGGCGGUCUUGAGUGGGCGAGAGGUAUGCGGAAGGAGUGGUGUAGCGGUGAAAUGCGUAGAU